CCUACGGGCGGCAGCAGUGAGGAAUAUUGGUCAAUGGGCGCGAGCCUGAACCAACCAAGCCGCGUGAAGGAUGACGGCCCCACGGGUUGUAAACUUCUUUUAUAAGGGAAUAAAGUGCGGCACGUGUGCCUUUUUGAAUGUACCCUACGAAUAAGCAUCGGCUAACUCCGUGCCAGCAGCCGCGGUAAUACGGAGGAUCCGAGCGUUAUCCGGAUUUAUUGGGUUUAAAGGGUGCGUCGUCGGGUCGUAAAGUCAGCUGUGAAAGGCUGGGGCUCAACCGCAGAAUUGCAGUUGAUACUGGCGGCCUUGAGAAGGGUUGAGGUAGGCGGAAUGCGUGGUGUAGCGGUGAAAUGCUUAGAGAUCGCGCAGAACUCCGAUUGCGAAGGCAGCGUACUGAACUGCGACUGACGUUGAGGCACGAAAGUGUGGGUAUCGAACAGGAUUAGAUACCCCGGUAGUC
RNAcentral lists this ribosomal RNA (460 nucleotides) under uncultured bacterium. RNAcentral describes it as "partial 16S ribosomal RNA". It matches the Rfam family "Bacterial small subunit ribosomal RNA", at positions 338 to 795 of the family's 1533-position model. The record is from RNAcentral.